Molecule: ribosomal RNA, 364 nt
Filed under: uncultured bacterium
Lineage: Bacteria
Description: bacterial SSU rRNA
Rfam family: Bacterial small subunit ribosomal RNA
Source: RNAcentral
CACGCCCUAAACGAUGUCAACUAGGUGUUGGGGGAGCAAUUUCUCAGUACCGUAGCUAACGCGUGAAGUUGACCGCCUGGGGAGUACGGCCGCAAGGUUAAAACUCAAAGGAAUUGACGGGGACCCGCACAAGCGGUGGAUGAUGUGGAUUAAUUCGAUGCAACGCGAACAACCUUACCUACCCUUGACAUGUCCGGAAGCCUGGUGAGAGCUGGGUGUGCCCGAAAGGGAACUGGAACACAGGUGCUGCAUGGCUGUCGUCAGCUCGUGUCGUGAGAUGUUGGGUUAAGUCCCGCAACGAGCGCAACCCUUGUCCUUAGUUGCUACGCAAGGGCACUCUAAGGAGACUGCCGGUGACAAACCG